RNAcentral lists this unclassified non-coding RNA (427 nucleotides) under uncultured fungus. RNAcentral's name for it is "partial contains small subunit ribosomal RNA, internal transcribed spacer 1, and 5.8S ribosomal RNA". The stretch from base 1 to 73 matches the Rfam family "Eukaryotic small subunit ribosomal RNA", at positions 1759 to 1831 of the family's 1831-position model. Lineage: Eukaryota; Fungi. The record is from RNAcentral.
UCAAACUUGGUCAUUUAGAGGAAGUAAAAGUCGUAACAAGGUUUCCGUAGGUGAACCUGCGGAAGGAUCAUUACUGAACAUCAUCAAUCUGGGUUGGGUUGUCGCCACGCUUCCUGGGAAGGCACACCCUUCCCCUUUUUUCCAACCCCCCACCCCCGUACCGAUACGCGAAACGUGCCUGCAGCUGGCCCAGCAGCCCGCAGGCUGUGGCAUCUGGGUUGAAACGGAUGCUUCCCCAGGGAUAAAUUGCCAAGCGCUGGCUUGUGCAAUCUUCCUGGGCAGUCGCGGUCUACGGGGGGCCUCUUCUGUAUCAAACCCCAAAACACAUAUAUAUGUUGUGUUGCUUUUCUUUCAAUGUAACUAUUGAACAACUACAGCAACUUUCGACAAUGGAUCUCUUGGCUCUCGCAUCGAUGAAGAACGCAGC